CUGAACAUUCCUCCUCUUUGCUGGUGGUUAAGGGAGAUACCUCUCAUUCUGCCCAGUCAGUUAAUGGGUCAGAGAUUUUUUUCUCAAAUCCCAGAGAUGGAAUCACUGGUAUCUCUGGUUAGCCAGAUGAUGCUGGAUCUCAGGCGUGUUCUCUGAUUUGCAGGACUGAAUCUAAAGAGCUUAUUGCUUUGUAAUGCCAAGGUUGAGUGUUUUCAGAAGCAGAAGUUUCUGAGAUGUGCAGAUUAGGUGUGUGGAAAGAAUAAACCCAGCAGCACCUCAGACAUGCCUGCCUCUCCACAUCACCAGCUCCAGUGGGAGUCUGAUUUCAGCUUGUCCACGUCUGGGCAGAUUUUUCCUGUGAUGGGCAUGAUCAGAUUCCUACAUGAAAAUCAAAUCUCUCACCAAGUACAGAGUCUUUUCAGGCUGUCAGGAGAAGCAGAUUUCCACAAAGAAAAGAUCACAGUAAAUUUUUGUCUCAGUGCUAUAUGUUACAGGAGAAGCAGCUGCUGAACAACAACAACAAAAAAGUAUUUUAAAGGAGUAAAUAAAUGCUUAAAGCAGCUA
Molecule: long non-coding RNA, 564 nt
Organism: Hirundo rustica (Barn swallow)
Lineage: Eukaryota; Metazoa; Chordata; Aves; Passeriformes; Hirundinidae
Exons: 3
Source: RefSeq, a predicted model, not a curated record